RNAcentral lists this ribosomal RNA (120 nucleotides) under Helianthus annuus (common sunflower). Lineage: Eukaryota; Viridiplantae; Streptophyta; Magnoliopsida; Asterales; Asteraceae. The record is from RNAcentral. RNAcentral also lists the same sequence under 1 other name.
GGUUGCGAUCAUACCAGCACUAAUGCACCGGAUCCCAUCAGAACUUCGCAGUUAAGCGUGCUUGGGCGAGAGUAGUACUAGGAUGGGUGACCCCCUGGGAAGUCCUCGUGUUGCAACCCC